UUUGAUCCUGGCUCAGAUUGAACGCUGGCGGCAUGCCUUACACAUGCAAGUCGAACGGCAGCACGGGAGCAAUCCUGGUGGCGAGUGGCGAACGGGUGAGUAAUACAUCGGAACGUGCCCAAUCGUGGGGGAUAACGCAGCGAAAGCUGUGCUAAUACCGCAUAAGAUCUAAGGAUGAAAGCAGGGGACCGCAAGGCCUUGCGCGAAUGGAGCGGCCGAUGGCAGAUUAGGUAGUUGGUGAGGUAAAGGCUCACCAAGCCUUCGAUCUGUAGCUGGUCUGAGAGGACGACCAGCCACACUGGGACUGAGACACGGCCCAGACUCCUACGGGAGGCAGCAGUGGGGAAUUUUGGACAAUGGGCGCAAGCCUGAUCCAGCCAUGCCGCGUGCAGGAUGAAGGCCUUCGGGUUGUAAACUGCUUUUGUACGGAACGAAACGGCCUUUUCUAAUAAAGAGGGCUAAUGACGGUACCGUAAGAAUAAGCACCGGCUAACUACGUGCCAGCAGCCGCGGUAAUACGUAGGGUGCAAGCGUUAAUCGGAAUUACUGGGCGUAAAGCGUGCGCAGGCGGUGAUGUAAGACAGUUGUGAAAUCCCCGGGCUCAACCUGGGAACUGCAUCUGUGACUGCAUCGCUGGAGUGCGGCAGAGGGGGAUGGAAUUCCGCGUGUAGCAGUGAAAUGCGUAGAUAUGCGGAGGAACACCGAUGGCGAAGGCAAUCCCCUGGGCCUGCACUGACGCUCAUGCACGAAAGCGUGGGGAGCAAACAGGAUUAGAUACCCUGUAGUCCACGCCCUAAACGAUGUCAACUGGUUGUUGGGUCUUCACUGACUCAGUAACGAAGCUAACGCGUGAAGUUGACCGCCUGGGGAGUACGGCCGCAAGGUUGAAGCUCAAAGGAAUUGACGGGGACCCGCGCAAGCGGUGGAUGAUGUGGUUUAAUUCGAUGCAACGCGAAAAACCUUACCCACCUUUGACAUGUACGGAAUUUGCCAGAGAUGGCUUAGUGCUCGAAAGAGAACCGUAACACAGGUGCUGCAUGGCUGUCGUCAGCUCGUGUCGUGAGAUGUUGGGUUAAGUCCCGCAACGAGCGCAACCCUUGUCAUUAGUUGCUACAUUCAGUUGGGCACUCUAGUGAGACUGCCGGUGACAAACCGGAGGAAGGUGGGGAUGACGUCAAGUCCUCAUGGCCCUUAUAGGUGGGGCUACACACGUCAUACAAUGGCUGGUACAAAGGGUUGCCAACCCGCGAGGGGGAGCUAAUCCCAUAAAACCAGUCGUAGUCCGGAUCGCAGUCUGCAACUCGACUGCGUGAAGUCGGAAUCGCUAGUAAUCGUGGAUCAGAAUGUCACGGUGAAUACGUUCCCGGGUCUUGUACACACCGCCCGUCACACCAUGGGAGCGGGUUCUGCCAGAAGUAGUUAGCCUAACCGCAAGGAGGGCGAUUACCACGGCAGGGUUCGUGACUGGGGUGAAGUCGUAACAAGGUA
Molecule: ribosomal RNA, 1488 nt
Filed under: metagenome
Description: bacterial SSU rRNA
Rfam family: Bacterial small subunit ribosomal RNA
Source: RNAcentral